Long non-coding RNA from Prosopis cineraria, 443 nucleotides. RefSeq lists it as uncharacterized. The transcript is spliced from 4 exons. NCBI's taxonomy places the organism in Eukaryota, Viridiplantae, Streptophyta, Magnoliopsida, Fabales, Fabaceae. The record is from RefSeq and is a predicted model, not a curated record.
GCCGCCGUCGACGCUCUGCUUAUCUACUCACCGCAGCUGUGAUUUUCUUCCCGAGUUAUUGCUGUUCAUCCACCUCUGCUGCUGAUUCAAGAAUGAAAAGUUCUUCUUUCUCUUAGCUUCUGGUUCGCGUGGGUAUAAAAGAUCUGGUUUUUCUUCACUGUUCAUCAUCGUCCUCCUUCCUCUGUCCGUGCGUGUUGAUUCAUUUGAGGGUGUGUGGAAGAACAAGACCCUGAAAAGACUUAAAAGAAGAAUACUUUCGAGAAUUUAGAACUUCAACAGAUUGGUUAGCUGACGCUGAUUCCACUAACGACCUCAAAAAGGGCAACUAGCUACAGUGGGUGGAUCUUUUUUGAUUGGUACUGCUACUUUAAUGUAAAUAUAUAAUUUGUAUGUCUUUUAGAAUUGAAAGAAAGAGUAGAUGCUCCACAUAGGUUGUUGAUGAA